GACGAACGCUGGCGGCGUGCUUAACACAUGCAAGUCGAACGAAGAGCGAUGGAAGCUUGCUUCUCUCAAUCUUAGUGGCGAACGGGUGAGUAACGCGUAAUCAACCUGCCCUUCAGAGGGGGACAACAGUUGGAAACGACUGCUAAUACCGCAUACGAUCUAAUCUCGGCAUCGAGGAUAGAUGAAAGGUGGCCUCUACAUGUAAGCUAUCACUGAAGGAGGGGAUUGCGGCUGAUUAGCUAGUUGGAGGGGUAACGGCCCACCAAGGCGAUGAUCAGUAGCCGGUCUGAGAGGAUGAACGGCCACAUUGGGACUGAGACACGGCCCAGACUCCUACGGGAGGCAGCAGUGGGGAAUCUUCCGAAAUGGACGAAAGUCUGACGGAGCAACGCCGCGUGAGUGAUGACGGCCUUCGGGUUGUAAAGCUCUGUUAAUCGGGACGAAAGGCCUUCUUGCGAAUAGGGAGAAGGAUUGACGGUACCGGAAUAGAAAGCCACGGCUAACUACGUG
Molecule: ribosomal RNA, 510 nt
Filed under: uncultured bacterium
Lineage: Bacteria
Description: partial 16S ribosomal RNA
Rfam family: Bacterial small subunit ribosomal RNA
Source: RNAcentral